GCCCUACGGGGUGCAGCAGGCGCGAAAACUUUACAAUGCUGGGAACAGCGAUAAGGGAACCUCGAGUGCCAGGUUACAAAUCUGGCUGUCGUGAUGCCUAAAAAGCAUUAUAUAGCAAGGGCCGGGCAAGACCGGUGCCAGCCGCCGCGGUAACACCGGCGGCUCGAGUGGUGGCCACUAAUAUUGGGUCUAAAGGGUCCGUAGCCGGCUUGGUCAGUCUUCCGGGAAAUCUGACGGCUUAACCGUUAGGCUUCCGGGGGAUACUACCAGGCUUGGGACCGGGAGAGGUAAGAGGUACUACGGGGGUAGGAGUGAAAUCUUGUAAUCCCCGUGGGACCACCAGUGGCGAAGGCGUCUUACCAGAACGGGUCCGACAGUGAGGGACGAAAGCUGGGGGCACGAACCGGAUUAGAUACCCGGGUAGUCCCAGCCGUAAACUAUGCUCGCUAGGUGUCAGGGACGGUGCGACCGUUUCUGGUGCCGCAGGGAAGCCGUGAAGCGAGCCACCUGGGAAGUACGGUCGCAAGGCUGAAACUUAAAGGAAUUGGCGGGGGAGCACUACAACGGGUGGAGCCUGCGGUUUAAUUGGACUCAACGCCGGAAAACUCAC
RNAcentral lists this ribosomal RNA (610 nucleotides) under uncultured archaeon. RNAcentral's name for it is "bacterial SSU rRNA". It matches the Rfam family "Archaeal small subunit ribosomal RNA", at positions 320 to 930 of the family's 1478-position model. The record is from RNAcentral.